UACGGAGGGUGCAAGCGUUGCUCGGAAUCAUUGGGCGUAAAGCGCACGUAGGCGGCCCGGUAAGUCGGAUGUGAAAGCCCUCGGCUCAACUGAGGAAGUGCAUUCGAAACUGCCAGGCUUGAAUAUGGAAGAGGGUAGCGGAAUUCCCGGUGUAGAGGUGAAAUUCGUAGAUAUUCGGAAGAACACCAGUGGCGAAGGCGGCUCACUGGCCCGGUACUGACGCUGAGGUGCGAAAGCGUGGGGAGCAAACAGG
Molecule: ribosomal RNA, 253 nt
Filed under: uncultured bacterium
Lineage: Bacteria
Description: partial 16S ribosomal RNA
Rfam family: Bacterial small subunit ribosomal RNA
Source: RNAcentral